Molecule: ribosomal RNA, 292 nt
Filed under: uncultured bacterium
Lineage: Bacteria
Description: partial 16S ribosomal RNA
Source: RNAcentral
GGACUACUGGGGUAUCUAAUCCUGUUUGCUCCCCACGCUUUCGUGCAUGAGCGUCAGUACAGGCCCAGGGGAUUGCCUUCGCCAUCGGUGUUCCUCCGCAUAUCUACGCAUUUCACUGCUACACGCGGAAUUCCAUCCCCCUCUGCCGUACUCCAGCUCUACAGUCACAAAUGCAGUUCCCAGGUUGAGCCCGGGGAUUUCACAUCUGUCUUAUAGAACCGCCUGCGCACGCUUUACGCCCAGUAAUUCCGAUUAACGCUUGCACCCUACGUAUUACCGCGGCUGCUGGCAC